Molecule: ribosomal RNA, 514 nt
Filed under: uncultured bacterium
Lineage: Bacteria
Description: partial 16S ribosomal RNA
Rfam family: Bacterial small subunit ribosomal RNA
Source: RNAcentral
GACGAACGCUGGCGGCGUGCCUAACACAUGCAAGUCGAACGGAGAAUUAGCAAUAAUUCUUAGUGGCGAACGGGUGAGUAACGCGUGGACAACCUACCCUUUAGAUGGGGACAACACCGCGAAAGUGGUGCUAAUACCGAAUAUUGCUUGAGAAGCGCAUGCUUUUCAAACUAAAGAUGGCCUCUAUUUAUAAGCUAUCGCUAAAGAAUGGGUCUGCGUCUGAUUAGCUAGUUGGUGAGAUAAAAGCUCACCAAGGCAACGAUCAGUAGCCGGGCUGAGAGGAUGAACGGCCACACUGGGACUGAGACACGGCCCAGACUCCUACGGGAGGCAGCAGUGGGGAAUCUUCCGCAAUGGACGAAAGUCUGACGGAGCAACGCCGCGUGAGUGAUGAAGGUUUUCGGAUCGUAAAACUCUGUUGUUAAGGACGAAUGUAUAGAUUGUGAAUAAUGGUUUAUAAUGACGGUACUUAACGAGGAAGCCACGGCUAACUACGUGCCAGCCGCCGCGGUAA